AAAAAGCUCGUAGUCGAAAUUGUGUCCUCGGCCGCCGGUUCGUCGCUCGCGACGCCAACUGGCGCGCACGCUGGACGUCCAGCCGGUACAACGAACUCGCCUACGGGGUGCUCUUAACCGAGUGUCCAGGCGGGGGCCGGCAACGUUACUUUGAACAAAUUAAAGUGCUUAAAGCAGGCUAAAUUCCGCUCGCAUACACGCGCAUGGAAUAAAUGAAUAGGACCUCCGUUCUAUUUUGUUGGGUUUUUGUGGAACGACAGACGGAGGUAAUGAUCAAUGGGUGCGGAUGGGGGCAUUCGUAUUGCGACGUUAGAGGUGAAAUUCUUGGAUCGUCGCAAGACGGACUUGAGCGAAAGCAUUUGCCAAAAACGCUUUCAUCGAUCAAGAACGAAAGUUAGAGGUUCGAAGGCGAUCAGAUACCGCCCUAGUUCUAACCAUAAACGAUGCCAGCUAGCGAUCCGCCGAAGUUACUCCUAUGACUCGGCGGGCAGCUUCCGGGAAACCAAAGCUUUCGGGUUCCGGGGGAAGUAUGGUUGCAAAGCUGAAACUUAAAGGAAUUGACGGAAGGGCACCACCAGGAGUGGAGCCUGCGGCUUAAUUUGACUCAACACGGGAAACCUCACCAGGCCCGGACACCGGAAGGAUUGACAGAUUGAGAGCUCUUUCUUGAUUCGGUGGGUGGUGGUGCAUGGCCGUUCUUAGUUGGUGGAGCGAUUUGUCUGGU
RNAcentral lists this ribosomal RNA (724 nucleotides) under Lucidota atra (black firefly). Its description in RNAcentral is "SSU rRNA". It matches the Rfam family "Eukaryotic small subunit ribosomal RNA", at positions 621 to 1319 of the family's 1831-position model. The record is from RNAcentral. Lineage: Eukaryota; Metazoa; Arthropoda; Insecta; Coleoptera; Lampyridae.